UGGUCAUUACCAAUGCUUUUAGAAUACAGUUUUUCACUUGCUGUGACAUGACCAUAAAAAAAUUUCCCACCAGGUUUUCUCUGCUACCGUGCUAGCCAUCAAAUCUACUGGGAACAUUU
Molecule: small nucleolar RNA, 119 nt
Organism: Oryctolagus cuniculus (rabbit)
Lineage: Eukaryota; Metazoa; Chordata; Mammalia; Lagomorpha; Leporidae
Source: Ensembl